This 884-nucleotide long non-coding RNA is filed under the name Homo sapiens (human). RNAcentral describes it as "non-protein coding lnc-NGEF-2:4". Lineage: Eukaryota; Metazoa; Chordata; Mammalia; Primates; Hominidae. The record is from RNAcentral.
ACUCGAAUCUGGGAACCCUGAGACCAGGAAGCUAAGAAGCCAGCACUGGCCUGCUGGAUGAUGAGUACCACCCCUAUGCCUGCUGACAGCCAGCCGACCCCAGAUCUGAUGGGCUCCUGCCUGAGUGUGCCCAGAUGACACCAACUAGAGCAGAGAGAUGGAGUCUACGUUGCCCAGGCUGGUUUUGAACUACUGGGCUCAAGCGAUCCUCCCCCCUCAGCCUAUUGAGCAGCUGAGACUAUAGUGUUUGAACUCACCAUAAGACUGACACACCACGUGCACCAGGGGAUAAGACUUCCAGAGGACUCGGUCACACCAGGAAGGCAAGUUGUACUUCAUCUGCAAAUCAAAGUCAUAGGCUUUAAAAAAUGCCUCUUAUUAUUAUUUUUUUAAUCAGUAAAAGAACAGAUUAACUGGUGGCCUCUGUAAUCCUCAAAUUCAUCGGCUGUUGGCUUUUUAUAGAAUUUCCCUGUAGGUGGCUUUAAACUUUUUUCACAUGGCUCAAGUCCAGACUCCACUGCCACGCCUUCUUCUUUAGACUAAGAUAACUCACCUUGCUGUAUUCCCUCACAUAUCCUCCUGACUACUUCAGUAUCCCUUGUAUCUUCACCUUCUCUUACUUUCUUUCUGACUCAGAUGAACCCCCACCUGUAUUUUCAGCUCAGUCUCUGCUCACUUUCUGCAGUCACUUACUUUAAUAACACACUUCAGCUUCCACCCCCAGUUCUAUUCAUCCAUCUGUCCACCUUUUCAUCUCCCCAUCUACCCAUCUUUACUCAUUCACCCAUCCAUCCAUCCACCUACCCACCUAUUCAUUCAUCCAUCCACCCAUCCACUUAUCUACCUAUUCAUUCAUCUAUCCAUCCACCCAUCCAUCCAACUAC